UACAGAGGGUGCAAGCGUUGUUCGGAAUUAUUGGGCGUAAAGAGCGUGUAGGCGGCCAUGCAGGUCAGCUGUGAAAACUCGAGGCUCAACCUCGAGACGUCGGUUGAAACCGUAUGGCUAGAGUCCGGAAGAGGAGAGUGGAAUUCCUGGUGUAGCGGUGAAAUGCGCAGAUAUCAGGAGGAACACCAAUGGCGAAGGCAGCUCGCUGGGACGUGACUGACGCUGAGACGCGAAAGCGUGGGGAGCAAACAGG
Molecule: ribosomal RNA, 253 nt
Filed under: uncultured bacterium
Lineage: Bacteria
Description: partial 16S ribosomal RNA
Rfam family: Bacterial small subunit ribosomal RNA
Source: RNAcentral